Molecule: long non-coding RNA, 315 nt
Filed under: Elaeis guineensis (African oil palm)
Lineage: Eukaryota; Viridiplantae; Streptophyta; Magnoliopsida; Arecales; Arecaceae
Description: long non-coding RNA (EGUI_LNC041435)
Source: RNAcentral
CCCUCUUAGUAGUAAACCAGCUCUCUUAGCAGUAGAUCUAGCCCUCCCAACAGCAGAACUAGCUCUCCAAGCAGUGGAUCUAAUCCUUGUUGUAGCAUCCCUUCCAUCGGAAGUAGAUCUACCUCUCCCAAUAACAUCAUGUGCAUGUGCAGCCCUUCCAGUGCCAGCAAUAACUCUGCCUACAACUCCUAUACUUGCAACACCCCCAUAUAGUGUAGGCCUCCCAACACAAGCCCUUUCAACUGCAGCCCUCCUGCCACCAGUAUGACUGUUCUCAACAACAGCACCAUCCAUUUAUGGAGCCUCAAUCCCAGC